RNAcentral lists this unclassified non-coding RNA (508 nucleotides) under Fusarium proliferatum. RNAcentral describes it as "sequence contains 18S rRNA gene, ITS1, 5.8S rRNA gene, ITS2, 28S rRNA gene". The stretch from base 157 to 310 matches the Rfam family "5.8S ribosomal RNA". Lineage: Eukaryota; Fungi; Ascomycota; Sordariomycetes; Hypocreales; Nectriaceae. The record is from RNAcentral.
GAUCAUUACCGAGUUUACAACUCCCAAACCCCUGUGAACAUACCAAUUGUUGCCUCGGCGGAUCAGCCCGCUCCCGGUAAAACGGGACGGCCCGCCAGAGGACCCCUAAACUCUGUUUCUAUAUGUAACUUCUGAGUAAAACCAUAAAUAAAUCAAAACUUUCAACAACGGAUCUCUUGGUUCUGGCAUCGAUGAAGAACGCAGCAAAAUGCGAUAAGUAAUGUGAAUUGCAGAAUUCAGUGAAUCAUCGAAUCUUUGAACGCACAUUGCGCCCGCCAGUAUUCUGGCGGGCAUGCCUGUUCGAGCGUCAUUUCAACCCUCAAGCCCUCGGGUUUGGUGUUGGGGAUCGGCGAGCCCUUGCGGCAAGCCGGCCCCGAAAUCUAGUGGCGGUCUCGCUGCAGCUUCCAUUGCGUAGUAGUAAAACCCUCGCAACUGGUACGCGGCGCGGCCAAGCCGUUAAACCCCCAACUUCUGAAUGUUGACCUCGGAUCAGGUAGGAAUACCCGCU